Molecule: ribosomal RNA, 483 nt
Filed under: uncultured bacterium
Lineage: Bacteria
Description: partial 16S ribosomal RNA
Rfam family: Bacterial small subunit ribosomal RNA
Source: RNAcentral
AUUGAACGCUGGCGGCAGGCCUAACACAUGCAAGUCGAGCGGAUGAAGGGAGCUUGCUCCUGGAUUCAGCGGCGGACGGGUGAGUAAUGCCUAGGAAUCUGCCUGGUAGUGGGGGAUAACGUCCGGAAACGGGCGCUAAUACCGCAUACGUCCUGAGGGAGAAAGUGGGGGAUCUUCGGACCUCACGCUAUCAGAUGAGCCUAGGUCGGAUUAGCUAGUUGGUGGGGUAAAGGCCUACCAAGGCGACGAUCCGUAACUGGUCUGAGAGGAUGAUCAGUCACACUGGAACUGAGACACGGUCCAGACUCCUACGGGAGGCAGCAGUGGGGAAUAUUGGACAAUGGGCGAAAGCCUGAUCCAACCAUGCCGCGUGUGUGAAGAAGGGCUUCGGAUUGUAAAGCACUUUAAGUUGGGAGGAAGGGCAGUAAGUUAAUACCUUGCUGUUUUGACGUUACCAACAGAAUAAGCACCGGCUAACUUCGU